This 74-nucleotide transfer RNA is filed under the name Bacteroidota bacterium. RNAcentral's name for it is "Bacteroidetes bacterium (activated sludge metagenome) tRNA-Thr". It matches the Rfam family "tRNA". Rfam says of the family: Transfer RNA (tRNA) molecules are approximately 80 nucleotides in length. Their secondary structure includes four short double-helical elements and three loops (D, anti-codon, and T loops). Further hydrogen bonds mediate the characteristic L-shaped molecular structure. tRNAs have two regions of fundamental functional importance: the anti-codon, which is responsible for specific mRNA codon recognition, and the 3' end, to which the tRNAs corresponding amino acid is attached (by aminoacyl-tRNA synthetases). tRNAs cope with the degeneracy of the genetic code in two manners: having more than one tRNA (with a specific anti-codon) for a particular amino acid; and 'wobble' base-pairing, i.e. permitting non-standard base-pairing at the 3rd anti-codon position. The record is from RNAcentral. RNAcentral also lists the same sequence under 3 other names. Lineage: Bacteria; Pseudomonadati; Bacteroidota.
GCCGAUGUAGCUCAGCUGGUCAGAGCUACUGAUUUGUAAUCAGUAGGUCGGGGGUUCGAAUCCCUCCAUCGGCU